UUUCCGUAGGUGAACCUGCGGAAGGAUCAUUCAUAAUAAGUGUUUUAUGGCACUUUUUAAAUCCAUAUCCACCUUGUGUGCAAUGUCUGUCGUGCUCUUCUAUGGGAAUGACCAAACGUCAACCAACUCUUUAACUCUUUGUCUGAUAAAUAUUACUAAUUAAAUAAUUCAAGAUACAACUUUCAACAACGGAUCUCUUGGCUCUC
This 206-nucleotide unclassified non-coding RNA is filed under the name plant metagenome. RNAcentral's name for it is "partial contains small subunit ribosomal RNA, internal transcribed spacer 1, and 5.8S ribosomal RNA". The record is from RNAcentral.